GUGCUCACUUGGCAGCAUAUAUACUAAAAUUGGAACGAUACAGAGAAGAUUAGCUGGUCCCUGCGCAAAGAUGAUAUGCAAAUUCGUGAAGCAUUCCAUAUUUUU
This is a small nuclear RNA of Macaca fascicularis (crab-eating macaque), 105 nucleotides long. The record is from Ensembl. Lineage: Eukaryota; Metazoa; Chordata; Mammalia; Primates; Cercopithecidae.